This 47-nucleotide transfer RNA is filed under the name Acinetobacter pittii. Its description in RNAcentral is "tRNA-Phe". It matches the Rfam family "tRNA", at positions 1 to 46 of the family's 71-position model. Rfam says of the family: Transfer RNA (tRNA) molecules are approximately 80 nucleotides in length. The record is from RNAcentral. Lineage: Bacteria; Pseudomonadati; Pseudomonadota; Gammaproteobacteria; Moraxellales; Moraxellaceae.
GGCGUGAUAGCUCAGUAGGUAGAGCAACGGAUUGAAAAUCCGUGUGU